Molecule: non-coding RNA, 21 nt
Organism: Caenorhabditis elegans
Lineage: Eukaryota; Metazoa; Nematoda; Chromadorea; Rhabditida; Rhabditidae
Source: Ensembl
UGUGAACAGAUAGUCAACAUU